CAAAACACUCCACUGGCAGAGUUGUGUUUGGGAACAGAGGUCCUACUUUCAUUUGCUGCUGAUGCAUUUGUUUAUAUCUAAUUGGCUUUAUUAGUCCAGGAGCUCAUAAUCACGAGUACUUGUGCCCAGGUUGCCUGAUACUUGUGCUCACCCACUGGGGUCAAAUAUAAUCACCAUCUCCCUUUGAUUACCAUAAACAUUUGAUAACCUGGCAGUUGGAGAGGUUUUAUCACUGUUCUCCAGGGAACUUGUUCCUCUGGCUCAGGAACACCCAGCUAAUGUCAAGGAGAUAAUUUCUAUGGAGAAGCUUAUCCUGUUUGUACAGGACAAGUCUUGGGACUAUAGAGUUACCAGGGCUUGUUGGCAGGACAAAGAAUGGCAACUGAGCGGAGAUGCCUGUUCCAGAUUGACACCCGGUGGAUGCUGCUGCUGUAAUCAGCACCGAGGAGCAUUUAUCACCUCCUCAGACCCUAAUGUGGGGAGCAGCUGAGUCCUGGCUCUGAAGAGGGUCCUGCCUCCCUCCCAGACACGAAGAUCUGAGUGCACACAUGGUUAAGCUGGGUAAAACAGCUCCAGGGAGCCAUGGCUGUCCCAGGCCAGGUGAUGGAGACUGCAUCAGAGCAAAGGAGGGCUGUGCCUCUUCUUGGACUGUCUUGGACAGAAGGGAUGAGAGUUGCCACAUGUACCUUUCUCUGCUGGAAAUUGGUCUUCCAAGUGGUGAAAUCUGCAGAAAUUCCUGUUUAUCCCCAGAGCAUCCUCUCUGACCUGGGAGAUGGGAGAGAAGUGCCUGGAGGAGGAGGGAGAUUGUGUCCCUUGGAGACAGGAGGCUCAGGAAAGGACAGCAAAUCCUGAAACUCGUGCAGCAGCCCCUUCUCCAGCUCCUUUCUCUUCUCUGGACACGCUCCAGCCCCUCAAUGUCCUUCCUGCUGGGGUCCCAAACAACCCAGGAUGUGAAGAGUGGUCUCACAGUGUGUCUGUCACUGCCCUGGUCCUGUGUCACCUUCCUGGGCACUGAUCCAGCUCUGACCCUGGUCCUGAGCUGUCCUGGUGUGUCCUGUGUCCCUUCCAGCUCCCUGCUGCCCUGGGCCCCUCUGCACCUUUCCUUGUGCGUGCUUAUUUUAACUAUGCUGUGGUCAAAGCACUAAAAAACAUUGAAUAAAAAGAGUUAUUUGGUUUCUCCA
RNAcentral lists this long non-coding RNA (1181 nucleotides) under Parus major (Great Tit). Its description in RNAcentral is "lncRNA (ENSPMJG00000008319.1)". Lineage: Eukaryota; Metazoa; Chordata; Aves; Passeriformes; Paridae. The record is from RNAcentral.